GNGAGAAAGAUUUAUCGCCGAAGGAUUGGCCCGCGUCUGAUUAGCUAGUUGGUGAGGUAAUGGCUCACCAAGGCGACGAUCAGUAGCUGGUCUGAGAGGAUGAUCAGCCACAUUGGGACUGAGACACGGCCCAAACUCCUACGGGAGGCAGCAGUGGGGAAUAUUGGACAAUGGGCGCAAGCCUGAUCCAGCCAUGCCGCGUGAGUGAUGAAGGCCUUAGGGUUGUAAAGCUCUUUUACCCGGGAAGAUAAUGACUGUACCGGGAGAAUAAGCCCCGGCUAACUUCGUGCCAGCAGCCGCGGUAAUACGAAGGGGGCUAGCGUUGUUCGGAUUUACUGGGCGUAAAGCGCACGUAGGCGGAUCUUUAAGUCAGAGGUGAAAUCCCAAGGCUCAACCUUGGAACUGCCUUUGAUACUGGGGAUCUUGAGUUCGGAAGAAGUGAGUGGAACUGCGAGUGUAAAGGUGAAAUUCGUAGAUAUUCGCAAGAACACCAGUGGCGAA
RNAcentral lists this ribosomal RNA (501 nucleotides) under uncultured bacterium. RNAcentral describes it as "bacterial SSU rRNA". It matches the Rfam family "Bacterial small subunit ribosomal RNA", at positions 198 to 719 of the family's 1533-position model. The record is from RNAcentral.